Long non-coding RNA from Diceros bicornis minor, 403 nucleotides. RefSeq lists it as uncharacterized. The record is from RefSeq and is a predicted model, not a curated record. The transcript is spliced from 3 exons. Lineage: Eukaryota; Metazoa; Chordata; Mammalia; Perissodactyla; Rhinocerotidae.
CAUCGCCCUCACCGUGGAUGAGGGAAGAGUCAAUUCUGCCAGGACUACAGGGAAAUUUGUUGGAUUUCUGGCUCCUCCUUGACCAGCAGUUUCAGUUCUGUUGUUUGCCUGAGCAUUUCUGCUGGUCUCACCUGGGUUCAUUUACGUGGCUGCAGUCAACUGGUGACUGAAUUGCAAUGGCUGAUGCAGCUGGGAUGUCGGGGCCUCUCUCUCCACAUGGCUUUCCAUCCUGACUAUCUUCACAGCAUGGUGAUCUCAGUGUUCCAAUAGGCCAUGCCCAUCGGCAUCAACCCAUCCACUUCCCGUGGGAGUUGCAGGAUCCCAAGGAACAUGUUUGAACCAUCUCCCGAGUCAGGAAUUGGAAGAAGAAAAAUAAACCUUUGUACAAGCACCUCACUAAAAA